UACGAAGGGGGCUAGCGUUGUUCGGAUUUACUGGGCGUAAAGCGCACGUAGGCGGAUUGUUAAGUCGGGGGUGAAAUCCCAGGGCUCAACCCUGGAACUGCCUUCGAUACUGGCAAUCUCGAGUCCGGAAGAGGUGAGUGGAACUCCUAGUGUAGAGGUGGAAUUCGUAGAUAUUAGGAAGAACACCAGUGGCGAAGGCGGCUCACUGGUCCGGUACUGACGCUGAGGUGCGAAAGCGUGGGGAGCAAACAGG
RNAcentral lists this ribosomal RNA (253 nucleotides) under uncultured bacterium. RNAcentral describes it as "partial 16S ribosomal RNA". It matches the Rfam family "Bacterial small subunit ribosomal RNA", at positions 524 to 776 of the family's 1533-position model. The record is from RNAcentral.